CAGUAGCCGCGGGAAUACGUAGGGCGCAAGCGUUAUCCGGAAUUAUUGGGCGUAAAGAGCUCGUAGGCGGUUUGUCGCGUCUGCCGUGAAAGUCCGGGGCUCAACCCCGGAUCUGCGGUGGGUACGGGCAGACUAGAGUGAUGUAGGGGAGACUGGAAUUCCUGGUGUAGCGGUGAAAUGCGCAGAUAUCAGGAGGAACACCGAUGGCGAAGGCAGGUCUCUGGGCAUUAACUGACGCUGAGGUACGAAAGCAUGGGGAGCAAACAGGAUUAGAUACCCCCGUAGUCCCUGUCUCUUAUAC
This 301-nucleotide ribosomal RNA is filed under the name uncultured bacterium. RNAcentral describes it as "partial 16S ribosomal RNA". It matches the Rfam family "Bacterial small subunit ribosomal RNA", at positions 509 to 807 of the family's 1533-position model. The record is from RNAcentral.